GAGUGAGGAGAAGGGGGUGGAGGGAGAGAGUGACGGAGGGGGUGGCUGGAGAGAGUGGUGGAGGGAGACAGUGGUGGAGGGGUGGAGGGAGAGAGUGACAGAGGGGGUGGAGGGAGAGAGUGAUGGAGGGGUGGAGGGAGAGAGUGAUGGAGGGGGUGGAGGGAGAGAGUGAUGGAGGGGUGGAGGGAGAGAGUGGUGGAGGGGGUAGAGGGAGAGAGUGAUGGAGGGGAUGGAGGGAGAGAGUGAUGGAGGGGGUGGAGGGAGAGAGUGAUGGAGGGGUGGAGGGAGAGAGUGAUGGAGGGGUGGAGGGAGAGAGUGAUGGAGGGGUGGAGGGAGAGAGUGGUGGAGGGGUGGAGGGAGAGAGUGAUGGAGGGGUGGA
Molecule: long non-coding RNA, 379 nt
Organism: Oncorhynchus tshawytscha (Chinook salmon)
Lineage: Eukaryota; Metazoa; Chordata; Actinopteri; Salmoniformes; Salmonidae
Source: Ensembl